RNAcentral lists this ribosomal RNA (253 nucleotides) under uncultured Oscillospiraceae bacterium. RNAcentral describes it as "partial 16S ribosomal RNA". It matches the Rfam family "Bacterial small subunit ribosomal RNA", at positions 524 to 776 of the family's 1533-position model. Lineage: Bacteria; Bacillati; Bacillota; Clostridia; Eubacteriales; Oscillospiraceae. The record is from RNAcentral.
UACGUAGGGGGCAAGCGUUGUCCGGAUUUACUGGGUGUAAAGGGCGUGUAGCCGGGUUGACAAGUCAGAUGUGAAAUCCUGCGGCUUAACCGCAGAACUGCAUUUGAAACUGCCAAGCUAGAGUGUCGGAGAGGUAAGUGGAAUUCCUAGUGUAGCGGUGAAAUGCGUAGAUAUUAGGAGGAACACCAGUGGCGAAGGCGGCUAACUGGACUGCAACUGACGCUGAGGCACGAAAGUGUGGGGAGCAAACAGG